Molecule: ribosomal RNA, 253 nt
Filed under: uncultured bacterium
Lineage: Bacteria
Description: partial 16S ribosomal RNA
Rfam family: Bacterial small subunit ribosomal RNA
Source: RNAcentral
UACGGGGGGUGCGAGCGUUAAUCGGAAUAACUGGGCGUAAAGGGCACGCAGGCGGACUUUUAAGUGAGGUGUGAAAUCUCCGGGCUUAACCUGGGAAUUGCAUUUGAUACUGGUAGGCUAGAGUACUUUAGGGAGGAGUAGAAUUCCACGUGUAGCGGUGAAAUGCGUAGAGAUGUGGAGGAAUACCGAAGGCGAAGGCAGCCCCUUGGAAAUGUACUGACGCUCAUGUGCGAAAGCGUGGGGAGCAAACAGG